GUAACACCAGCAUUAAAAGUGAAGUAUAUGAAAUCCUUGGAAUGGACAAUCCCCCUUCAGGUGCCAGUCUCUUCCACUCACCUGGGACCCCCCCCGCCUGCUGCCUGCUCCUGAUCUGCCUGGCCCUGGCCCAGCUCCUGCAGCUCCUAUGAGCAGACGUCUGGACCGAUGGACAGACGAAGAUGGAGCCACUGAACACGCUGGACGCUGGGACAUGGCAGGAAGUCGACUGGAAGGAGUUGGACUUUGCAUCAGGGCGCCCCCGCACGCACUUUUCCGAGGACAUUACCAAACAGAUUGUCUAGAGCUUCUGUAAAUAAAUUAUCACUAAAUAAAUAUUCUCUCCAAACCAUCCAGCUUUGUGAGUUCAAAUUCGCAACUGAGGUUUCAACUGUUGACUUCCCAUGCCCAUAUUCCCGACAGGCAGGAGAUUCAGCUUGCUUGUCCAAGUCUGGUGUUACAGCUGAAAGGGCACUGUGGGUAAGUGUUGUUGGCGUGGAGCAGAACGAGUUUGCACGAGACAUGUCAACCUUGGUCUGAAGCAUCCACUCAUCUCUUUCCUCACAGCUGCAACAAUUCAGGGUCGCGGGGGAGCUGGGGCCUAUCCCAGCAGGCAGGGGGGGGGGAAGACAGAACGGCAGUCAGAUAUGAACAAACACACUCGCACCAGGGCCAAUUUUCCCAGAAGCCAAUGAACUUCCCAGCAUGUCUUUGGACUGUUGGACGAAACCAGAGCGCCUGGAGGAAAAACCACGCAAACCCAGGGGGAACAUGCAAACUCCACACAGACAGCACCCCAGAUCCGGAAUGGAACCCUGUGAGGCAGGGAAGCUAACUGUGCUCAUGAAAUCUUUAAUUUGUGAAAAAGUGGAAGACAUGAGUUUUGCUCAGUAGGUCUAAGCGAAUGACUGCAGGACAUGCAGUAGGGGCGUCACACCUCCUGUUCCGCAGUAGCUCAAUCUGAAGAUGGGCCGAGCUUCACCUGUGGUUCUGGUAGGUCGGUCUCUUACUGGCAAAGCACAGUUAAAAAAAAGUCAAGUCAGACUGAAGCCACACCCCCCCCCCAGUCCACCCCCUCUCCUGCCUAUACACUCGCUGGCCCAAGGAGCUUGGCAGAGACACACAUUGUUUCAGACUCCCUCUGGAAACAUGAACAAGCAGACUCAUGGAUUAUCACUGCUACUGCUACUGCCACUGCUACUGCCCCUGUGCUGGGGGGGAGAAGAGAAUUCUACAGAAGAAACCAGCACCGUGUACGAAUAUGACUAUGACAGUGAUGUCAGCUAUGACCUGUUUGCUGUACUUAACACGGCACCUGGGAUCCCUCCAGCCUGCUCCGUGCUCCUGAUCUGCCUGGCCCUCUCCUACCUGUUUUAGUCUGGGAACAGGACUCUCGCGCUGUGCACAGGAACAGUUCAGAAGGACCCCGUUACGUUCUGUGCAAGAUACCCAGAAAUAGCGGGGGACCAACACGAAGAAUAUUCAUCAGCACUGCUCACCCAUACUAUGCACUGAAGACACCUGAAGACACACCCGAAGAAAAAGCCUCACCAGCUGGAAUACCUUUUUUUAAAAAACAAACACCCCUCUCAAGCAGGAAGUAUUUCAGUUUAAGCCAUAUUAUCAGCAAGAUCAUCACCUCUGCUUUAAUUAUGUUACGUUCAGAAGUUACUAUAUUCAGCUGUACUUGUUAAUAUAUAGUAUUGCUCAGUUCUUGCUUAGCCUUAGAUAACCUGGUAGAGUUACACAACAUCUGUCCACUGGCUACCCUGACUUACGAAUGUUACAUCUCCUUGUGUUAAUGAUGCCGAGCCAGCAGGGCCCCAAGCAGAUGUCAGCUCACCUCUUCAGCUUGCAACAUUAUUCUAAUAACACUUAUUUCCAUACUGAGCACAAUAAAACAGGACUUGCAUGCAAGGAUUAUUAGAUUAUAACUGGAUUGGGUUUAUUAAGGAAGAAAGAAAAGGAUCCGAAAUGGGAGAAUUUACUAGAUGCGUCUGGUCAUGUUGUUCCCAUGAUGCACUACAAAAUUGAUUUGUUUUUGUCAUCUUCGCUGAGAAAAUCUCUCUCCCGGGUUGUUUCGCAGAAAGCACAGGCUAAUCGACAUAGGGUGUCGUGACCAUUCUGAAGUUUCUGAAGUGCCUGUCUCACCCUCUUCCAGCAAAAGAUCAUCUAAAUAAUUUGCUAAUGAUUUUGUGCAGGUCUAGCUGUGACAUCGGAGGGAAAGAAAAGGUUUAAAAUAAAGUGUUUUAAUUAGAAAUAAAACCCGGAUCACCAAUCUGAUCUCAUUCACAAAUCUCUGUGAGAUUUGUCAAUUAAAACUUUAAUUUUUUAAGGAAACCAGCACAAUAAUUAUACUCCAGUGCCACCUUAAACCUACCCCCCAGAGAAGUUGAAAUGAUGGGCAUACAAUUUCCGAAUACAACACAGCCAAUCCUUAGACCUAACUAUUUUUGGUUUGCUAUAGAAUUUGGAUGUAUCGGAAAUUAAAGCAUCCUGUAUGUAAUAAAACAGUUUUAACAAUGUAAGAUGAUAAAAUCAAUAUGCAAUUCAAAGUUGCUUAUCACCAUAUAACAAAUUUAAAAAAAUUGGUUUGUGUCAUUAUGGUCUGAUAAUCAAUAAGCAUUUUUAUCGAGUGUAAUGCAAUUGUAUUUAAAUUGAUUCAAUAACCAUUUAAACAUAGCGAAUGCUGUGCAGUCAUUUACAAUUUGUAAUAUAUUUUAUAUUACAGCACCACAGUAUUGACUCUUUUUUUAAAUACAAAAACAUUUGAACUAAUGGACCAACAAGACAUUUGCGAGCUUUUUUGUCUCCUCCGUGCCAAACCCUUAUUUUAAACUUCAUGUGGCUGUGAAAAAUGAAUUGGAGUUCCUCUGGAGAUCCACUGGGGAGCGCCAGGGAGCUUUCAAAGAACUCCCGGGCAGGUGGUAGAACGACAACGUUGAGGAUAGAUACAAAAACAUGUCAAAGGCGUUAAAUGUUGAGUGGUCAAAACGAUUAUUGAGAAGUGGAGGAGAGUAAUAGGACAGCACAGUGGCACAGGGGUUGACACUGCUGCCUCGCAGUGCUGGGGUCCUGGGUUCAAUUCUGGACCUGUGGGGUGUCAUCUGUCUGGAGCUUGUAUGGUCUCCUCAUGUUUGCAAGAGUUUCCUCCCAUAUUCCAUAGAGAUACUGGUGGGUUCUGGGAAAAUUGGCUCUAGUGUGUGUGUG
Molecule: long non-coding RNA, 3210 nt
Organism: Lepisosteus oculatus (spotted gar)
Lineage: Eukaryota; Metazoa; Chordata; Actinopteri; Semionotiformes; Lepisosteidae
Source: Ensembl